GAUGAACGCUGGCGGCGUGCCUUAUACAUGCAAGUCGAGCGAACGGACGAGCAUCUUGCUUCUCGGAUGUUACCGGCGGGCGGGUGAUUAACACGUGCAUGACCUACCUUUAAGACUAGGAUGACUUCGGGAAACCUGAUCUAACACCCGAUAAUAUUGUGAACCGCAUGGUUCGAAAGUGAAAGACGUUCUUGCGGUCACUUAUAGAGGUAUCCUCGCUGCAUUAGCUAGUUGGUAAGGUAACGGCUUACCAAGGCAACGAUGCAUAGCCGACCUGAGAGGGUGAUCGGCCACACUGGAACUGAGACACGGCCCAGACUCCUACGGGAGGCAGCAGUAGGGAAUCUUGCGCAAUGGGGGAAAGCCUGACGGAGCAACGCCGCGUGAGUGAUGAAGGUCUUCGGAUCGUAAACCGCUGUUAUUCGGGAAGAACAUAUGUGUACGUAACUGUGCACAUCAUGACGGUACCUAAUCAGUAAGCAACGGCUAACUACGUG
RNAcentral lists this ribosomal RNA (497 nucleotides) under uncultured bacterium. Its description in RNAcentral is "partial 16S ribosomal RNA". It matches the Rfam family "Bacterial small subunit ribosomal RNA", at positions 28 to 507 of the family's 1533-position model. The record is from RNAcentral.